Molecule: transfer RNA, 73 nt
Filed under: Candidatus Mancarchaeum acidiphilum
Lineage: Archaea; Nanobdellati; Microcaldota
Description: Candidatus Micrarchaeota archaeon Mia14 tRNA
Rfam family: tRNA
About the family: Transfer RNA (tRNA) molecules are approximately 80 nucleotides in length. Their secondary structure includes four short double-helical elements and three loops (D, anti-codon, and T loops).
Source: Rfam by way of RNAcentral
GGGGUUGUACGCUAACCUGGCAGACUGCUAGCUUCGGGAGCUAGUAAUCCGAGUUCAAAUCUCGGCAGCCCCA